This 2100-nucleotide long non-coding RNA is filed under the name Elaeis guineensis (African oil palm). RNAcentral's name for it is "long non-coding RNA (EGUI_LNC074721)". Lineage: Eukaryota; Viridiplantae; Streptophyta; Magnoliopsida; Arecales; Arecaceae. The record is from RNAcentral.
UAUUUCGAGAUCCGAAAAUUAUUUCGAGAUCCAAAACUUACUUUUCAUGCAAAAAAUUUAGAUAUAAGAUCUGAAAUUUGUGUUUGCGCAUGGGGAAUUAGUCAUGGAUAGGUCAAAUUAGGUCUUAUAAUUAGAUUACACCUAGGGUCUUUAAUUUGAACAUAAUGGGUCUAAAUCGAUUUAGCAAUUGCUCAAACCGAGUCAAAUGUUAAUUAGAAUUAGAUCAAUAGAGCUUAAGAUCAUACAAUCAUUGUUGAUCGAAUUGAUUGACAUCCAUAUGUAGAAUUGAUUAACCUAAAGACCUAAUUCAGCUCUGUGGCUCAAGUCUGAUUCAUCUAAACUAACCUAUUUGGAUCAAUUGAUGUCUUAGACAAGUAAUUGAGAGGUGCUUAAUUAGGACCCUUGAUCCAUCAAGAGGGAGCCUCCCAUCGAUCUCCACUUACCUGAUCAAUUUGAAAGAUUGAGUCUUGAAUGUGGUUGCUUGGCAGUUUGGUUUGGCUCAUGCCAAUUAAAUCAACCAUGUGAUAACUGAUUAAAUGAGACCUGAACCUAAACCUCUCCAUACAUAUUAAGUCGAGAAGUCUUCCACUAUUGUAGAAGUGCAGGUAUGCUACUGGUGUUGAUUGUUCUCGACUGAUUACAGUGGUUCAGUUGCACCAAAAAUAUACCACUCUAUUAGCAAAAAAUUGCUCCUAGACAAGGAUAGGGUUGUGUCCAAUAUCUGUCAGGUGAGGGAUCCAAUGACGGUUUUGCAUCUGCUUGUGAACAAUGAGUCGGACUUAACUAAGGAGUGUGGUCAAUAUCUGUCAGGUGACUCCACAUGACUUAGAGACCAGAUCGCUGCAACAUACUUAGAGAAACAUCUGAACAACGAGUUGUCCAUGCAUCGAUAUACAUGUUACCAAUAUCUGUCAGAUGAGGUACACAGCAUCAGUAGAACUGCAGCACCCACUAGAAACCCAUUUGUCAUGUUAAGAUUUUCGCUUCUCCACCUGAGGUGUAGGAAUCCGAAAAAAUAGUGGGAGCCUAUUUGCUUUUAAAAGUCUAUAGAGCAAAAAUAUUAAAUCAAGUACAAACAUCUAACUAGAAUCUUUACUCUGUGGUUAUUAUGCCUGCUUCCAACCCUCGAGCUUAAAUCCUAAAUAUCAACUAUUUAAUCGAAACCAAUUACAUAAACUGGCUCAGAAAUCUAAGAAUCAUUCUUAAUUUUUUAGAAAAAAUAAACCAUAUUCUCGAUCAGAAUAUCCCUACGUUAUCAGUUCGUUCGAUACAUGAUCAAUGAGCUAUAUUUGAUAAGUGGAUGAACGAUGACAAUAAGGAUAGGUGCUAUAUAUUGACGUCCAUGUCAAAUGAAUUCCAACACAUGCAUGAGCACAUGUACACUGCCAAGGAUAUACUGACUCAUCUACAAGUGUUGUGAAGUGAUCAAGUCACACAGCGCAUGAGAUGCGCGAUGGGUAAGUUAUCGAUGAUCACUAUUUGAUAAUGAUCAAGAAUAUUGAAAAGCUUGAAAAGCUCCACAUGACCAUGCACAAAAAAUUGCUAGUGGAUUUGAUCCUGCGAUCCCUUCUUAGUUUGUAUGGACAGUUUAUGGUAAACUAACAUAUGAAUGACCAUGAUAGCGCCAAAUCUGAAUUGGUCAAUUUAUUAGUAACUGUCGUAGGGACCUUGAAAAGUUCAAGGAGUACAUACCUGAAGAGCUUAAAGAAACAAAGACACGUCUUAAAAAGGCAUGUCAAAAUUGCUCAAAACUUAUCUUACGAUUACAUCCUCCCAGUUGAGUAUUAGACUCUAGUGCCUAUUUAUGCACUUCAUUAUAGGGUCUAAGAAAAUGUAGAGGACUGAAGGAAGGUGAAGUAAUCCUUCCAGUCGACAAUAGGGUAAGAGUUGCUGCUGUGGCCGUGGGUACCUAUCCUCCACGACUACCAUCUGGAUUUAGUUCUUAAAGACAGUCUCUAUCAUUUGCAUGGUAAUGCAUCUAUGAACUUAUUUGAGUAUGCAGUAAAUGCCAUUGGAUCUGAGAGAUCCAGAGUUGAGAUAAAUCUGAAGUAUAUAUAACACCUUAGGCUAGGUCAUAUAGAAGAAAAAAUGAUUAACAGA